UACGAAGGCAGCAGUGGGGAAUAUUGCACAAUGGGCGAAAGCCUGAUGCAGCUAUGCCGCGUGUAUGAAGAAGGCCCUAGGGUUGUAAAGUACUUUCAUCGGGGAGGAAAAACAAAACUAAUAAUUUUAUUUCUUGACGUUACCCGAAAAAGAAGCACCGGCUAACUCCGUGCCAGCAGCCGCGGUAAUACGGAGGGUGCUAGCGUUAAUCAGAAUUACUGGGCGUAAAGAGCACGUAGGUGGUUUUUUUAAGUCAGAUGUGAAAUCCCUGGGCUUAACCUAGGAACUGCAUUUUGAAACUGAAAUACUAGAGUAUCGUAGAGGGAGGUAGAAUUCUAGGUGUAGCGGUGAAAUGCGUAGAUAUCUGGAGGAAUACCUGUGGCGAAAGCGGCCUCCUAAACGAAUACUGACACUGAGGUGCGAAAGCGUGGGGAGCAAACAGGGAUUAGAUAC
RNAcentral lists this ribosomal RNA (453 nucleotides) under uncultured bacterium. Its description in RNAcentral is "bacterial SSU rRNA". It matches the Rfam family "Bacterial small subunit ribosomal RNA", at positions 340 to 785 of the family's 1533-position model. The record is from RNAcentral.